AAAAAGGCCCUUUUAUCCCAAAUAUACUCUUGUACCUGUACGUUGAAGACUUUUUAAUUUUUGGCUGAUCAUAUGAAUAUUCUUUCACAGACCUUUUCACCAUUGCUUAUGCUUCCUAUGAAUACAUCAUGUCAUCAUUGAUAUAAGAAAAGGGUGGAAUUUGCAAGCUCAGUUGAUUAUAGAGCAACCAAAACAAAGAUUUAGAAUUAUGAAAAUUGGGAAUGCAGCAGGAAAUAUCUUUGUUAAUACAUCAAAAGCAUCGGAAAUAGUGGGCAGAUUAGUUGUAUGUUAAUAUUUUAAGCAAUUAUCGAUACGAAUGUGUGCAAUGAGUAAAAAUUGAGAAAUUUAAAGUCAAA
Molecule: long non-coding RNA, 356 nt
Organism: Stomoxys calcitrans (stable fly)
Lineage: Eukaryota; Metazoa; Arthropoda; Insecta; Diptera; Muscidae
Exons: 2
Source: RefSeq, a predicted model, not a curated record